GAUGAAGAACGUAGCGAAAUGCGAUAAGUAAUGUGAAUUGCAGAAUUCAGUGAAUCAUCGAAUCAUUGAACGCACAUUGCGCCCGCCAGUAUUCUGGCGGGCAUGCCUGUUCGAGCGUCAUUUCAACCAUCAAGCCCCCGGCUUGUGUUGGGGACCUGCGGCUGCCGCAGGCCCUGAAAACCAGUGGCGGGCUCGCUAGUCACUCCGAGCGUAGUAAUACAUCUCGCUCAGGGCGUGCUGCGGGUUCCGGCCGUUAAAAAGCCUUAUUUACCCAAGGUUGACCUCGGAUCAGGUAGGAAGACCCGCUGAACUUAAGCAUAUCAAUAAGCGGAGGA
Molecule: unclassified non-coding RNA, 335 nt
Filed under: soil metagenome
Description: partial contains 5.8S ribosomal RNA, internal transcribed spacer 2, and large subunit ribosomal RNA
Rfam family: 5.8S ribosomal RNA (bases 1-120)
Source: RNAcentral